RNAcentral lists this ribosomal RNA (486 nucleotides) under uncultured bacterium. RNAcentral's name for it is "partial 16S ribosomal RNA". It matches the Rfam family "Bacterial small subunit ribosomal RNA", at positions 30 to 507 of the family's 1533-position model. The record is from RNAcentral.
AUUGAACGCUGGCGGCAUGCCUUACACAUGCAAGUCGAACGGCAGCACGGGUGCUUGCCCCUGGUGGCGAGUGGCGAACGGGGGAGUAAUACAUCGGAACAUGUCCUGUAGUUGGGGAUAGCCCGGCGAAAGCCGGAUUAAUACCGCAUACGAUCUACGGAUGAAAGCGGGGGACCUUCGGGCCUCGCGCUAUAGGGUUGGCCGAUGGCUGAUUAGCUAGUUGGUGGGGUAAAGGCCUACCAAGGCGACGAUCAGUAGCUGGUCUGAGAGGACGACCAGCCACACUGGGACUGAGACACGGCCCAGACUCCUACGGGAGGCAGCAGUGGGGAAUUUUGGACAAUGGGCGAAAGCCUGAUCCAGCAAUGCCGCGUGUGUGAAGAAGGCCUUCGGGUUGUAAAGCACUUUUGUCCGGAAAGAAAUCCUUGGCCCUAAUACGGUCGGGGGAUGACGGUACCGGAAGAAUAAGCACCGGCUAACUACGUG